RNAcentral lists this ribosomal RNA (253 nucleotides) under uncultured bacterium. RNAcentral's name for it is "partial 16S ribosomal RNA". It matches the Rfam family "Bacterial small subunit ribosomal RNA", at positions 524 to 776 of the family's 1533-position model. The record is from RNAcentral.
UACGGAGGGGGCUAGCGUUGUUCGGAAUUACUGGGCGUAAAGCGCACGUAGGCGGCUCAUGAAGGCUGUGGUGAAAGUCCGGGGCUCAACCUCGGAUCGGCCGUGGCGACUCGUGGGCUGGAGCACUGUAGAGGCGGGUGGAAUUCCGGGUGUAGCGGUGGAAUGCGUAGAGAUCCGGAAGAACACCAGUGGCGAAGGCGGCCCGCUGGGCAGUGGCUGACGCUGAGGCGCGACAGCGUGGGGAGCAAACAGG